ACGUAGGGGGCAAGCGUUGUCCGGAAUCAUUGGGCGUAAAGAGCGUGUAGGCGGCCCGGUAAGUCCGCCGUGAAAGUCCAGGGCUCAACCCUGGAAUGCCGGUGGAAACUGCCGGGCUGGAGUCCGGAAGAGGCGAGUGGAAUUCCUGGUGUAGCGGUGAAAUGCGCAGAUAUCAGGAGGAACACCAAUGGCGAAGGCAGCUCGCUGGGACGGUACUGACGCUGAGACGCGAAAGCGUGGGGAGCAAACAGG
RNAcentral lists this ribosomal RNA (252 nucleotides) under uncultured bacterium. Its description in RNAcentral is "partial 16S ribosomal RNA". It matches the Rfam family "Bacterial small subunit ribosomal RNA", at positions 525 to 776 of the family's 1533-position model. The record is from RNAcentral.